UACGGAGGGGGUUAGCGUUGUUCGGAAUUACUGGGCGUAAAGCGCGCGUAGGCGGACCAGAAAGUUGGGGGUGAAAUCCCGGGGCUCAACCCCGGAACGGCCUCCAAAACUCCUGGUCUUGAGUUCGAGAGAGGUGAGUGGAAUUCCGAGUGUAGAGGUGAAAUUCGUAGAUAUUCGGAGGAACACCAGUGGCGAAGGCGGCUCACUGGCUCGAUACUGACGCUGAGGGGCGAAAGUGUGGGGAGCAAACAGG
This 253-nucleotide ribosomal RNA is filed under the name uncultured bacterium. RNAcentral's name for it is "partial 16S ribosomal RNA". It matches the Rfam family "Bacterial small subunit ribosomal RNA", at positions 524 to 776 of the family's 1533-position model. The record is from RNAcentral.